Long non-coding RNA from Mauremys mutica (yellowpond turtle), 1573 nucleotides. RefSeq lists it as uncharacterized. The transcript has 3 exons. NCBI's taxonomy places the organism in Eukaryota, Metazoa, Chordata, Testudines, Geoemydidae. The record is from RefSeq and is a predicted model, not a curated record.
UCCAGUUCUGACCACGCCAUGGCUCUGGGGUGGGGGCUGGAGAAGGCUGUAAAAUGGGCUCUGUGCUUGUUGGCUCUGGGCAGGAUGCAGGGGAGGCACUGCUUGCCCUGGGGAACCUGGCAGGCUGGUGAAUCAGAGAAGACCAGCCUCUAGGGGUGGGAUGAGGCAUCUAAAAGCGUGCGGCGAUGGGGAAGAUACCAGGCUUGGAUUCUGGGGGAGGAGAGGGCAUUUCCCAGCUGUGGGGAGGGGGUGCCCCUGCGGGGACAUACUCAGUGUAGGAGACAGGGCACAAUCUGGAGACAGGGCACAUUUCCCAGGGAGUGAGCCGGACAAGCCAGAUGCCUAGGAUCAAAGCCUGUAAAUGAUUACAGGGCCAUGCCCAGCAGCCGCCCUGCAGACAGGGGUUGGAUGGGUCCCAUUGAUCAAUGAUGGUGAGAAGGGACGUCUCCCCCCCACAUCCUCCCUUGUGCCCCAGGAAUUCUAGGCAUGGGGCAAGAUGAAGCUGCCCAAGAUGUCCAAUGCUCAGCCAUUCCUUGGUCCUGUACCUCUGAUUCUUUCUCUCUCAGCACCGCCUCCGUGACGCCCGCCAGCUGGUCAGCACACUCCCCCUUCUCCAGCAGGCCCAGCAGCAGGGUGAAGCUGAAGGGCGUGAGGUCACGCGACCGCAGGUGUUUCGCGAUGAGCUGCAGGGAAAGUCACAGGCCGAGUGUGAGCAGUGAGCCCCGGCCCGGGGAGCAACACGGGCAGGGCUUUCUGCAGCCGGCAUCCUUCUGCGUCUUGCUCAGCACGGUCACCACCACCCCGUCUUGGUGUGCAUGAUGGAGGCACAAGAAACCAGCAGCGCUCAGGCAGAGCUCUCGGGGCCGGAUUCUUUCCUCUCCCCAUCGAUCCAGGUCAGAGGUGCCAAAGAGUCUGGCUCAGCUGAGACUGCCCAGCUAGGGCAAUAUGCAGAGAUGGGGGUCUGGAUAAAGUGACCUGGAGGCCAAGGAGGAUAUGGCCCGUUAGUGAUCCACCGGGGAGGAGCAUCCUCCAGUUCUUCUUGCAGCUCCUCCCUCCCCCAUUUCCUCUCCCUCCAUCUGCUCCUCCCCAGCUGCUGGGCUCCGCAGGUGAGUCAGGCCUCAGGGACGUACCGUAAGUAUGAGAUGGCCAGCAGGGCAUGCUGGUGAUGGGGUUCUGCAGCCGGGCCCGGUCUUUGCCUCUGAGCAUCUCCUGCAGCACAAAGCAGAGAGUCAAAGGCAAAAGAAUUUGGGGAGCUGGGUUACUUAGCAAGACGUGGAAUCUCCAAAUGCUGUUUGACGCCCCCACCAACCCUCAGCCCCAGCGUGCAGUGCACUGGGGCCCGGAGCUGGGAAGAUGGCCUGGGAGUGGCCCCAUGGCCAGAAUGCAGGGGACAUUCACAAGAGAGUUCCUGUUUUGCCAUUCCUGAUGGCACAUCUGGAAACUUCAGCAUCUGCCACGGAGCAGGGAAGGGGGAUCUGGGCAGAGGCAAUUUUGUGACAGGGAGCAUUAGAGUCCUUAACAGCUGAGGUGUGACGUUAUUGACAUGAACUGGGACCGUAUAGAUCAUUGUUGC